UACGUAGGGGGCGAGCGUUGUCCGGAUUCAUUGGGCGUAAAGCGCGCGCAGGCGGCGUGCAGAGCCCGGCGUGAAAGCCCCCGGCUCAACCGGGGGAGGUCGUCGGGGACCUGCAGGCUAGAGGCCGGUAGGGGCGAGUGGAAUUCCCGGUGUAGUGGUGGAAUGCGUAGAGAUCGGGAGGAACACCAGUGGCGAAGGCGACUCGCUGGACCGGUCCUGACGCUCAGGCGCGAAAGCGUGGGGAGCGAUCCGG
RNAcentral lists this ribosomal RNA (253 nucleotides) under uncultured bacterium. Its description in RNAcentral is "partial 16S ribosomal RNA". It matches the Rfam family "Bacterial small subunit ribosomal RNA", at positions 524 to 776 of the family's 1533-position model. The record is from RNAcentral.